Taeniopygia guttata (zebra finch) is the source of this 1664-nucleotide long non-coding RNA. Lineage: Eukaryota; Metazoa; Chordata; Aves; Passeriformes; Estrildidae. The record is from Ensembl.
UGUGUUGUUUUUACAUGGCCAGCUUGUAAAAAGCUUUACUGGAAAAAUUUAAGUGUGACUUUAAACAAUUCCAGAUUUACUGGUAUAAGUCUCUAUGGGAGUAUCUGUAUUCUACAAUGAUCUUUUUUUUAAUUUCUUUUUUUCUUCUAGACUGACAAACCAAAUUUGUGACUAAAUUGAAAUAAUCCCCUCUGAUUCCACAGGAAGCAUCCCCACAUGAAGAGCUGCUUGCAAGAAAUCAAGUGGUCAUAUAUUAAAUCUUGCUGUGAAAGGAUUUGAUAUGUCUUUGUUUUAUUUUGUAUUGUGAAGGACUGGGAGUGUACAUUGUCAGCCACCGUGCUCGACUGAGACUGCUGAGUCAGUCAGUUGAUCAUUGAAAAUGUUCAUUAAAUUGCUGAUACUCUGUUUUGGGCUAAGAUUGUCUGGAGGUUUGCAUCAGUUUGCAGUACCUAGGUGCUUGAGGUUUCCUGUCAUGCUUGUUAGUCUGAUACACUGUGAAAACACACUGCUUCUGUUGGCAGGUUGCAGCUUAAGCACCAUUUGUACGGCAGCAGAUUUCUGGUUUGUCUUCCUCACUGCUACCUGCUCGUGCUGUGGUGAAGUUACCCAGGAAUCUCCACAGGAACAAGAGCAGACAGCAGGAACAGGUUUUCAUAACUAUCACUUCUUAUAUGAGACCCUGCACACAGCAGAGGUACAUUUUUGGAUAUGGCAUUGCCCAAGUUUUAAUCUCAUCCCUCCUGAUGACUGCAUGGUUGCAGGGAAGAAGCACAGAGUGCAGUUAUCGUCAUUAGGUGGGGGCUUGGGGCUAAUGCAGAAGACAAGGGAGAGCUACUUCCUAGUGCCCCUGCUGAAAGCAAGGCAGCAUCUUCUCAGUGUCACUCUAGUGGGGCUGGUACUCUCCCUGCUGAUGCAGAGGCUCUCUCUGGUGCUUGGUAUGGUUUAAGCACCACUGGUAUCAAAAUGUGGGACUCUAUUCUAGCAUAGCUAAGAUGACAAGUUUCUUCCUCAAAAAGUGUGAUACUGGAGUUCAGAUAGUGGCUAGGUGGUCACAGCCUAGCAUGGAAGAGAAGGAGCAGAGACCUUUUAAAUAGAAGAUUACCAACAAGUUAUUCCAGAGAAUAUAACCACUACUUGCCCUGAAAAUAUUUAUCUCUUCUCUAAUAGCUGAAUUUGUAAUGACAUUUUAAUGCCUGUGGAAACUAGAGCCGCAAGAACCUUUUUUUUCAGAUACCAGCUUUGUAUCUCAGUCUUUCAAAGGCAGAAGCUGGUGCAGUGUGUGCUGGGAGCAGCCAGGCUGAGCUAACUUUGGCAGCCCUUGCUGCAGCUGCAGCCAAGGACAGGCAGUGUCUGCGUGACUGGUGGCCCUCACUGCAUCCCCUGCCUUGGGACUACCUGCUCUGCAGCUGGGGAGGCAAUUUCAGAGAGGAAGAAGAAAAGGGAGAGCUCUAAAACUUCCUUCUCCCCUAGUCAGCCUGUUUCUGUGCAGGACUCUUCUCUGAUAAGAAGGUGUUUUUGGUAUGGGUGUUUUUGGAGGACAUGUACCUGCCGGCAUGACUGCAGAAAGUGUAAGACAUGACAAUGGUUUUGAGAUCCAUCACAGAGAGCUGUAGGUUGAAUCUCUUGGCAAGAGUUUAAAAGAGAAAAAAAAAAAAAAAAAAAAA